UACGUAGGGUGCGAGCGCUGUCCGGAAUUAUUGGGCGUAAAGAGCUUGUAGGCGGUUUGUCGCGUCUGCUGUGAAAAUCCGGGGCUCAACUCCGGACUUGCAGUGGGUACGGGCAGGCUAGAGUGUGGUAGGGGAGACUGGAAUUCCUGGUGUAGCGGUGGAAUGCGCAGAUAUCAGGAGGAACACCGAUGGCGAAGGCAGGUCUCUGGGCCACUACUGACGCUGAGAAGCGAAAGCAUGGGGAGCGAACAGG
This 253-nucleotide ribosomal RNA is filed under the name uncultured bacterium. RNAcentral describes it as "partial 16S ribosomal RNA". It matches the Rfam family "Bacterial small subunit ribosomal RNA", at positions 524 to 776 of the family's 1533-position model. The record is from RNAcentral.